AACGAACGCUGGCGGCAUGCCUAACACAUGCAAGUCGAACGAGACCUUCGGGUCUAGUGGCGCACGGGUGCGUAACGCGUGGGAACCUGCCCUUAGGUUCGGAAUAACUCCCCGAAAGGGGUGCUAAUACCGGAUAAUGUCUUCGGACCAAAGAUUUAUCGCCUUUGGAUGGGCCCGCGUUGGAUUAGCUAGUUGGUAGGGUAAAAGCCUACCAAGGCGACGAUCCAUAGCUGGUCUGAGAGGAUGAUCAGCCACACUGGGACUGAGACACGGCCCAGACUACUACGGGAGGCAGCAGUGGGGAAUAUUGGACAAUGGGCGAAAGCCUGAUACAGCAAUGCCGCGUGAGUGAUGAAGGCCUUAGGGUUGUAAAGCUCUUUUAACCGGGAUGAUAAUGACAGUACCGGGAGAAUAAGCUCCGGCUAACUCCGUG
RNAcentral lists this ribosomal RNA (433 nucleotides) under uncultured bacterium. RNAcentral describes it as "partial 16S ribosomal RNA". It matches the Rfam family "Bacterial small subunit ribosomal RNA", at positions 29 to 507 of the family's 1533-position model. The record is from RNAcentral.